Molecule: long non-coding RNA, 842 nt
Organism: Eutrema salsugineum
Lineage: Eukaryota; Viridiplantae; Streptophyta; Magnoliopsida; Brassicales; Brassicaceae
Exons: 4
Source: RefSeq, a predicted model, not a curated record
GGCACUAGGAUUCACGCUACUGUUGAUGAAGAAUUGAUCGCAAAACAUAAAGGCAUCCUUAUAGAAGGAAAAUCACUUUCUAUUAAUUGCUUUAUCAUUAAAGAAUACUAUGGUGAUUUUAGGACUACUCUAUUACCAUACAAGAUCGUUUUGUGCAGAACCACCUGUGCUAAAGAGAUUAAUGAUUUUCCAUCAGACUUGCCGGAAAAAUAUUUGUCUGAUUUCAAGUCAAUCAAGGAAGUCAAACUCGACAAAAACGUCCUCAUCAGUAUGUCAUCAUCGCGAUUUUGAUAAUUAUAUUCUAAUGUACAUAUUUAUCAUUGUAUACAAAUAUUUUGUCUUCAAGAUGUCAUUGGACAAAUUGUCACUGUGGGGAGUAUGGAAGUUAUAAAAACUAAAGGCAGCGAGAAAUUGAUGAUAACACUCCGGGAUACCAAGUGACAUUUCAAUAUCAAACGCUUUCAACUCCACCAAAAUUUUAUUUGAUCCUGACGUCAAGAUCGUGAAAGACUUCAGAGAAAAGUUGCCAAAAAACAAUCAAAUGAUUGUGCAUGCUGAACAGAGUUAUUCGACUUCUUGGAGUGGUGCUAUUGACUACCGUGAAUAAUUUUUAGGUGUGAAGGUGGACGAUAGCUGGAAUUCGUGAUACAAAAGUGAUUGUAACAUGCAUAACGGUCAAAGACGUUGACACUUCAAAGCUGUGGUAUUAUUGAGCAUGCAAACCUUGCAACAUCAAAGUUUUAGAGCAGGACAUUAUGUCUGAUGAUGAAGAUUACGAUAAGAGGAUUCCUCUUUUCAGUUGCAAAAAAUUGUGGAGAUAUUUAUUCAUAUGAUACAAUCGU